This 253-nucleotide unclassified non-coding RNA is filed under the name uncultured Sphingomonadaceae bacterium. Its description in RNAcentral is "contains 16S-23S intergenic spacer region". It matches the Rfam family "Bacterial small subunit ribosomal RNA", at positions 524 to 776 of the family's 1533-position model. The record is from RNAcentral. Lineage: Bacteria; Pseudomonadati; Pseudomonadota; Alphaproteobacteria; Sphingomonadales; Sphingomonadaceae.
UACGGAGGGAGCUAGCGUUAUUCGGAAUUACUGGGCGUAGAGCGCACGUAGGCGGCUUUGUAAGUAAGAGGUGAAAGCCUGGUGCUCAACACCAGAACUGCCUUUUAGACUGCAUCGCUUGAAUCCAGGAGAGGUGAGUGGAAUUCCGAGUGUAGAGGUGAAAUUCGUAGAUAUUCGGAAGAACACCAGUGGCGAAGGCGGCUCACUGGUCUGGUAUUGACGCUGAGGUGCGAAAGCGUGGGGAGCAAACAGG